RNAcentral lists this ribosomal RNA (468 nucleotides) under uncultured bacterium. Its description in RNAcentral is "partial 16S ribosomal RNA". It matches the Rfam family "Bacterial small subunit ribosomal RNA", at positions 28 to 507 of the family's 1533-position model. The record is from RNAcentral.
GACGAACGCUGGCGGCGUGCUUAACACAUGCAAGUCGAACGGAAAGGCCCUGCUUUUGUGGGGUGCUCGAGUGGCGAACGGGUGAGUAACACGUGAGUAACCUGCCCUUGACUUUGGGAUAACGUCAGGAAACUGGGGCUAAUACCGGAUAGGAGCUCCUGCUGCAUGGUGGGGGUUGGAAAGUUUCGGCGGUUGGGGAUGGACUCGCGGCUUAUCAGCUUGUUGGUGGGGUAGUGGCUUACCAAGGCUUUGACGGGUAGCCGGCCUGAGAGGGUGACCGGCCACAUGGGGACUGAGAUACGGCCCAGACUCCUACGGGAGGCAGCAGUGGGGAAUAUUGCACAAUGGGCGGAAGCCUGAUGCAGCAACGCCGCGUGCGGGAUGACGGCCUUCGGGUUGUAAACCGCUUUCGCCUGUGACGAAGCGUGAGUGACGGUAAUGGGUAAAGAAGCACCGGCUAACUACGUG